UCGCCUGUUUAUCAAAAACAUCUCUAUAACUUAGUAAAACCUGCUCAAUGUAAAUUAAAUAGCCGCUGUAUUACUGACAGUGCGAAGGUAGCACAAUAAUUUGCUUUUUAAUUGAAAGAUAGAAUGAAAGGAUUAAUUCUAAUACUUAUGUUUAAUUUAAACACUUAAUAUAAAAUUUAAGUUAAAAUCCUUAAUUAAACCUAAAGAAAGAAAAGACCCUAAAAUCUUAAUAAAUUAUCUGGGGAAGAAAAAAUACUAUAAAUUACUAUUUCUUAAAAUUAAGAGUUAAAAAAGAUACUUUAGGGAUAACAGCUAUUUAAAUGAGAGAUCCUAUCUAAUAUAUACAAUAGACCUCGAUGUUGAAUUAAAAUAACUACACUUAGAAUAAAAAGUAAAAGUAAGUUUGUUCAACUUUAAAAUUUCACGUGAUCUGAGUUCAGACCGGA
RNAcentral lists this ribosomal RNA (446 nucleotides) under Paraphronima cf. gracilis USNM 1423019. Its description in RNAcentral is "partial large subunit ribosomal RNA". Lineage: Eukaryota; Metazoa; Arthropoda; Malacostraca; Amphipoda; Paraphronimidae. The record is from RNAcentral. RNAcentral also lists the same sequence under 1 other name.